This 253-nucleotide ribosomal RNA is filed under the name uncultured bacterium. RNAcentral's name for it is "partial 16S ribosomal RNA". It matches the Rfam family "Bacterial small subunit ribosomal RNA", at positions 524 to 776 of the family's 1533-position model. The record is from RNAcentral.
UACGUAGGGUGCGAGCGUUAAUCGGAAUUACUGGGCGUAAAGUGUGCGCAGGCGGCAAAGCAGGUCGAGUGUGAAAGCCCCGGGCUUAACUUGGGAAUUGCGCUCGAAACUACUUUGCUGGAGUGUGGCAGAGGAAGGUGGAAUUCCACGUGUAGCGGUGAAAUGCGUAGAGAUGUGGAGGAACACCAAUGGCGAAGGCAGCCUUCUGGGCCAACACUGACGCUCAUGCACGAAAGCGUGGGGAGCAAACAGG